AAAAUAUUAAUCUUUUUUGUGAAAAUAUUAAUUUUCUAAAUUUUUUAAAUAUCAAUGAGUUGUUACGAUGACAAAUCUCUCUUAAAAAACUUUGCGCCGAAAGACACCGACACCGUGAUUCCAGACUCGAUUGCUUUUUUCUUUUCAUUUUCAUAAUUAAUUUGUUUCCUAUUUAUGCCAUACGAAACUUGAGCUGAAGAUGGUUUAAUUGAAUUUUCACUGUUCA
Molecule: long non-coding RNA, 226 nt
Filed under: Panax ginseng (ginseng)
Lineage: Eukaryota; Viridiplantae; Streptophyta; Magnoliopsida; Apiales; Araliaceae
Description: long non-coding RNA (PGIN_LNC016519)
Source: RNAcentral